This 3258-nucleotide long non-coding RNA is filed under the name Sus scrofa (pig). RNAcentral describes it as "lncRNA (ENSSSCG00055011874.1)". Lineage: Eukaryota; Metazoa; Chordata; Mammalia; Artiodactyla; Suidae. The record is from RNAcentral.
GGGGCGGAGAGCAAGCGCCCGUCUAAAGGAGCCUGUUUUCUGUUUUAAAACAGCCAGAGGCGACAAUGUUUGCUGCACACGCUUUGCCCCAAACGGUUGCCAGGUGUGGGAUGAGGAGACGGCAGGAGCCGCCGUGUUCGUGGUGACCGUGCUUUCCGUCGCCUCGUGCAGGGCCAGACGCCUGGACCCGAAGUAAAACCCCCAACACAUGGAAGAUGUUAAUGAAGCAUUUUUUUAUUCUGGAAAGAAGACCACCAGACCACUGAGCACCAGCUUUGAAAACAACAUAAGCUUCCUCUGCCCUGGUCCUUAUCUGUGGCCGUUUUUUUCACUCCUCAAACUAUAAAACCACCUCCCAAGCUCCCCUAAGGGGGGCACCGUCUUUGAGGCAUUAGCCUGCGGUGACCCUCCUUUGCCUGGCAAAGCAAUAAAGCUAUUUUCUUCUCUUUUGCCCAACACUCCGUCUCCAUGUCUCUAUUUGGCACUGGUGGGCAGAGGCCGCAUCCUGGCAACAGUCUCUUUCAAGAAAAGGUUCAAAUCUAGAAGUGAAGAGAGCCAUGAAAAAAUUGUUCUCGUACAGUUUUUAAAGGUCAUUUUGAAAACAUGUUUCAUUUUCUGCCUCAGUGCAGACGCGGGCUUUUCUCUACUCAGUAAGAUCUUUGGCUUAGUUUUAUCAUCGCCAGAAAUAGGAUCUGCGUUCAGGAAAAAUGAAGAUCUGCUGACCCCCAGUUUGUUGUGACGGAAUGAACUCAAAUCUUCAACAGGAACGCAAAUAAAAUGAAUGUUAUUAAUGAAAAACGAGCCUAAAGAGAAUACGUAUGUUUUAUUUCAUAUCUGAGCUGAAAAGAUGACACAUAUCAUAUCAGACAUUCAUUAAGAUCCAGAAAUUUAUUUUAUUGAGCUAUAUUUUAAAUUAUCCUCUUGUCCGCUCCUGAGGGAUCUAGUGUAAGAAACUUUUAUUUCUUUUUGUUUCCAUCACUCUGAGAUCUAUCCUGUGUUAAAACACAGUACGUUGCUAAGAGCAACCUGUGGUCUUGACUUGAGCCAUCCCGGCUUUGCUCUCUCAUUGAAGUUGAAUGCAAUUCUACGGCUCAAUAUGAAUCAGAUGGGAUCUAAAAGUAGACCUGAAACUUCUCCAGAUGGUCAUGUGGAGCUCAGUGGGUGUAGUCCAUCGAGUCUCAAGAUUCUUCCGCACGACUUGUAUCUUCUGGAGAAACUACGUAUCAAAAACCUCAUGAAAAAUAAAAUAUUACCUGCCAUAUCAGUAAACAAGAAUGUCAGUGAUUUCAGCCACCUCAGACAGUGAGCAGAGCUGGUGAGCCCUGAGGGAACUCAGAAAGGAGACAAUACCUGCCAUCUAGCAGCCAUCAGACUCUAGCCACUCCGGAGGGUGAGCCCUGAGGAAAACUCAGGACGCAAGAACACAGGAUACUGGCCCUAGACAGCUGAGGUGCCUAUCAAAGGAACAAUUGCAGGGAGCCCAGCCUUUGCAUCUUCCUACACUAGAAAAGCUCUAAAAUCCUUGAGCUACCUGCCUUCUUUGAAUAGCAGUAAUCUUUUGCUCUUACUACUUGCCCUUGGUUGCAAAAUUCCUAUACAUCCUAGCUCCCCACUCAUUCAUAUGAGCAGGUUUUCUCAGGGUUACUUGAGAUGCUGCCUCUUGGGCUUAAGUCCUCAUCUCUCCCAGAAUAAAACUUAACGCUCAACUUUUAGGUUACACAUGUAUUUUUUUUUUAGUUGACACUCUCAAUGAGCUAUGUAUGUGUUAUUUGUGACAUAAAUUAUAACACAAUAAUAAUAAAUUAUAAGUUAAAUUCGAAGUGAAGAAUAACUGUUCAGUCAAGUUUAUUCAUUUAGAACGUAGCAUAUUUGGCAUUAAGCUAAAAUGCUAUUGAUAAAUAAAUAAAUAUCAUUAAUAUUUUCAUGGGAUAUUUGUUCCAGAAUUCCAGACGGAUGUUUAAUGGACUUAUACACUAAGAUAUGAACUCCUAUAUUGUGAGAAUUAGGAAGGUUCUCUGAUAAUGCAAAUGAGAGGUCUUUUGGCUGAUUUGAGGUCAAGCCUCUAACUAUCACUUAACUAGUUGAUUAACAAACAAUGUGAAUUAUCCCUUGAUUAAUAACGCACUAUGCUAGCUGUACCCCUAAUUCCACUAGUAUUGAUAACAUUGAAUACAUAAAAUAGCCCAGGUAGAUGUGAUAAAGGAUUGACUGAAGGAAAUCCAAUCCUUGCAUUCAUCUUUAUAAUUGCAAAUUUAUACUUAAAUGGGAAGAAUAACAGAGCACUUUAGACCAGAACCACAAUGAUGUCAACAUCGCAUCCUUAUAAAAUUGUCUUUGCUGAAUCUUCAUUUCUUGUUAUGCAGGACACUAUAUGAAACAACAAGAAAAGUCAAUUGUUUUUAUUACAGAAAAUGCCGUAAGUUAUGACAAUGGGCUGUAUUGGUUAGGUCUUAUGAAAAAUAAAUUCUCCCAACUCAGCAUCAUAUGCAGGACACUAUAUGAAACAACAAGAAAAGUCAAUUGUUUUUAUUACAGAAAAUGCCGUAAGUUAUGACAAUGGGCUGUAUUGGUUAGGUCUUAUGAAAAAUAAAUUCUCCCAACUCAGCAUCAGAAACAUUGAGCCUUUCCAGAACAAGUUGUUUUGGUCAAGCUUUUAUAAAACUAAUAAUUCAGAAGUCUCUCCUUUUUUGUAGACAAAAUGGUUGAAGGAAAAUUUGAAUUCACAUUGUAGCAAUUUUUAAGAAGCAUAACAUGAAUUUCUGUUUCUGUAAUCAGACAAUAUUUCCUUUUUCAUAUUUUACUUGGCCUGAUUUUCACUAAUUAUAUAUAUAUUUUUCUUCUUACUUGUAUUUUUCUGCAACCUAUGUCAAUUUAACAGUUAAGUGAGUGGCAAGGUAAAUAAAUAAACAAUAGUAAAGUAAAAAACAGAUUUGAAUUGGCGCUAAGAUGAUAUGGAGAAUUUCCUAAAUAGUUUGAUUGAAGAGAGACAAUGAUUUUAACUAGAUCAAUCCUCCUUAAAAAAAAAAAAAAGAAUAGUCUGGGACAGAAUAAUCAAAGGCUUAAACAUGACCAAAAUUCAUCUUGAAAAUGACCAGGGUCUUUUGGUUAUAACCUUUGAAAAAUUUUAAAGAAUUGUAUAACUAUGAUAUUGGAAAUAUGAAAGAAAAGUUCUGAUAUUUUCAUUCAUAAUGCAUGCAAUAUAUUUUGUUCACUUUGUAAUUAUGAGCAUGUAUCCCCACACAAUAAAAAUUGCAUCGA